Ostrea edulis (European flat oyster) is the source of this 983-nucleotide long non-coding RNA. RefSeq lists it as uncharacterized. NCBI's taxonomy places the organism in Eukaryota, Metazoa, Mollusca, Bivalvia, Ostreida, Ostreidae. The transcript has 3 exons. The record is from RefSeq and is a predicted model, not a curated record.
UCAAUCUGAAAAUCCAUUUCAAGGUGUUAUGUUAUCCAUAUACACAUAUCAGGGGAGAAUCUAUCUACAAUUAUUCACAUUUUUUAGAUCAAUACGAUGCUUUAGCCACCUGAGAAAUACAAUAUUCACUAAGCCCGGAAGGUGAGGUUAAUAUUGUACUUUGAGGAUAGCUAAAGCAUCGCAUUGACCAAGGAAAUGUCAAUAAUUUUUAUAUUAUAUGACUAAGUUAAAACUUGAAACUAGCUACUAGAGUUUAUGAAACGAUACCUGGUCAGCCAUCUUUGAUUACAGAUAGGGUGCAAGAACUAGUCGAAAGUGAUAAGACACAAGUUUUUGUUUAUCAUAUGACUGAAUGAUUUAAAAUAUUGAAACCAUACUAGAGUACCAUACAAAAGCUGAUCAACCAACUUUGUUACAUCUAAAGUGCAAGACCUAGUCAAAAGUGAUAAGAGACAAGAAUUUUCAUUUGACAACCAAAACAUAAUAAUAACAAAUUACAUCAUUUUGGAAUUUGUUCCAAUGUUGGAAAAAUCAAAUGUUAUAUUCACCUCAAAGGCUUUUGGAGGUGAAUGCAACCUUCUCUUUUUUUUUUUUUUAGUUUGUUGGAUGUCAAACAAUCACAAAGCUCAGAAUUAUUCAUUUUACAACACAGUAAUGAAUUUCAGAUGGCAAAAUUGAAUUUCACACUUGUCCAGAUUUUUCUCUACCCUCAAGAUCUAUAGAAGCAUGGCAUCCUCUUUUACACCAAGGAUUUCAUACAGAUCUAAUUUAAGGAUAUCACCAGGACCUCCAGACAUCUUUUUUUUUCAAGUUAUAUCUGCAAAAGAAGUAUCAAAGUUAUAAAGAAGGAAUCCUCAAAACAUUUUUAAAACAACCAGUGUUAAACAUUAAACUGGGGCAUUCAGUUUGAUGAAUUUUUGGAAAACUGUUAUUGAUUUCUUGAUCAGAACACUGACCUUUCAAUUUGGCAAUAAAAAACAUAU